Vespa velutina is the source of this 796-nucleotide long non-coding RNA. RefSeq lists it as uncharacterized. The transcript has 3 exons. NCBI's taxonomy places the organism in Eukaryota, Metazoa, Arthropoda, Insecta, Hymenoptera, Vespidae. The record is from RefSeq and is a predicted model, not a curated record.
GGAAAUCAUUUUCAAUGCUUACACACGAUGUAACUGCUCGUCGCAAUUCGUAGUUUACAAUUAACCAAUGUCAUGUCGGUGCACGCGUACCGAUCUUUGCCGACAAACGCAACCGCCACACAACAAACAGGAACAACGGACGAACAUGUAAACGAACGUCCGGAAUUUGAAAGUGCGGAAGAAGGAGGAGCGUAGUAUAAUAUGUAGGAAUAUCCUCGUAAGGAUAAUUAGUACAAGUCGAGGAUAAUUAAUACAACGAGAUGAUAUGAUUCAACACUACAAACAAGACGAUGAAGGUCGUGCUAGCAGAAGCGAGACGACCGUAACCAGAAAUUCUUCGAAGCGUGAACGGUGGAGACAUGUCUUUCUUGCUUGCCUUAACUCUUCUACGCAUAAUUAUAGUUAUCCGCACGAUGAGAUUUAAAGUGAAUAGAUUUUAUGCGAAAUGGGUCGAAAAUUCUUCGGCUUGUAUUUUUAUAAUCUGAAAAAAAAAAAAUUAGCCUAGUCUUGCAAAAAAGUAAUCGUCUCUUAAAAUUCACCUAUGAACUUUUGAUUCAACCUGUAUUAUAAAAGGAAGUAAAGAAGUCAACUCUUCGCAUCGAAGGUCCUAUACGCAAAAGAAACUUCAUUUUUUAUACAAACGUCCCGAUCAAUAUUCAAACGUCCUCUCCGACGGUGUGUAUGAUCAAACGAGAGAAGACUUUGAGAAAAGAAAUCGAAGGUCUUACAUGAGCAAACUUAUUUGCAUGCAUACCUCUUGGAAAUGAAUAAUAAUUUUUGCAAAUGAAUUCAAAUU